AUUGAACGCUGGCGGCAGGCCUAACACAUGCAAGUCGGACGGUAGCACAGAGGAGCUUGCUCCUCGGGUGACGAGUGGCGGACGGGUGAGUAAUGUCUGGGGAUCUGCCCGAUAGAGGGGGAUUACCACUGGAAACGGUGGCUAAUACCGCAUAACGUCGCAAGACCAAAGAGGGGGACCUUCGGGCCUCUCACUAUCGGAUGAACCCAGAUGGGAUUAGCUAGUAGGCGGGGUAACGGCCCACCUAGGCGACGAUCCCUAGCUGGUCUGGGAGGAUGACCAGCCACACUGGAACUGAGACACGGUCCAGACUCCUACGGGAGGCAGCAGUGGGGAAUAUUGCACAAUGGGCGCAAGCCUGAUGCAGCCAUGCCGCGUGUAUGAAGAAGGCCUUCGGGUUGUAAAGUACUUUCGGCGGGGAGGAAGGCGAUGUGGUUAAUAACCGCGUCGAUUGACGUUACCCGCAGAAGAAGCACCGGCUAACUCCGUGCCAGCAGCCGCGGUAA
This 506-nucleotide ribosomal RNA is filed under the name uncultured bacterium. Its description in RNAcentral is "partial 16S ribosomal RNA". It matches the Rfam family "Bacterial small subunit ribosomal RNA", at positions 29 to 523 of the family's 1533-position model. The record is from RNAcentral.